GGUAACAAGGUUUCCGUAGGUGAACCUGCGGAAGGAUCAUUG
This 42-nucleotide ribosomal RNA is filed under the name Dendrobium fanjingshanense. Its description in RNAcentral is "partial 18S ribosomal RNA". Lineage: Eukaryota; Viridiplantae; Streptophyta; Magnoliopsida; Asparagales; Orchidaceae. The record is from RNAcentral.